GGUGGCCUUCAUGGGCUGUUGAGCAGAGGUGGAGGAGAGCAGCAGGGAAGAGAUAGGGCAUCCUGGACUCCCCUCACGAGUCACCGAGGGUAAUUUUCUCAGAAGUCUAGAUGGAUGCCAGUAAGCCCUCUGUCCAGACAGGGGAGGUGAUAGAGCUCGCUUUGUGUUUCCAGUUGAAAACAAAGGCUCGUUAGGAUUCGCGGCAGCCUGUGCUGCCCUGGGGCUCCAGGGACCAGCUGGCACCUGGACGGCGGCUGUGAAAAAACACUGGAGGCAGAACUCAGCUGAGCUGCAACCUCGUGAGCUCAAGUGGGGGUCACCCCUAGCUGAGGUUACCGCUGAGGGAAUGGGGUCAUCCGCCCCGGGAGAACCUGAGCGGCUGCGCGGGGACGCGGACAAAAGCCGCUUUGUGGAGGCGGCGAGUCCUUCAACGGCGCCACCGUGUGGCAGCGCCGGGAAGCGGCGGCGGCGGCGGGCGCCGCGGAUUCUGAGGCCGUCUCUCGCACGCCCUGACCUUCUCCCACCUUCUCUGACAGGACUCCAUGGUGACGGCCUGCCCCAUGAGGCUCUGCCCAGCUCUUAGAGGGCACCACUCUCCAGGGGCUGCCCCAAACCUGGUGAUGCUCUUCAGGGCCUGGGGAGGAGGCUGAAGAGGCAGUUCUGGGCCUGAACUUCCCUGAUUCUCCCUGUCACAGCGGUUCUCAGCUCUCUCUCUCUGCCCCAUCGCCAUCCCCAAACCAUCUGCGAGGUACCAACUCUUCCCCCAAUGACUCAUAUCCCACCUCUGCCCCUGAGCAGCCCCCCACCCAACAUCCAGUCUUCUCAGGACUGCAACCUGCCUCCACAGUCAUCUCCCUGUUGCUGUCGUGUUUCCAGGGACAGACCAAUCAACAGUAACCAUCGUCUGCAAUCCCUUUCCCUUCCUCCUCACAUCCUGUCCCUGCCUAGAAGUGGGACAAUGUUGUGAUCCUCGUUUUACAGGUGACGGAGGCCCAUCACGGUUCUACUCCCAUAACGAACUCAUCCUCAGGAAGAUCACCAGUCUGGUGCCUUCACACACCCACCUGUUCCCAGGGGCCACUUCAGCCCGGCUCUGAGAUUUCACUGCAUACAACCCACGUCUACAUUUAAGGUUUCAAAGGACACCAUUCUGCAUAUUGUGCAUGUAUUUGCUCAUCAUGUCUUCAGAGCAGUUAUAGGAGAUGGGUGCUAUUACUAUCCCCAUUUUUCAUAUGAGGAAACUGAGACCCAAAGUCACAAGGCACAGCAUAUGAACCCUAGUACUGUGGCUCUGGAGCCCACAUGCUGGGCACUAUACUACAGCUGUCCAGCAACACUCCACAAAAGGCACAGGAUGGAGAGAAGAGAAACCAGAAAAAAGGGAUUUUGCCUGCAAUUUCUCCCUGUUCUCUGGAGUGACCCUAGUGUUUCCUGUGUGCUCUCCCCUCCCCCCCAUCCCUUGACAUGAUGGACCCUUUUCUCUUGGGAACUGAAAGAGAAGAAAAUCAUCCACGACAAGUAGCAGCUGUCAAAUAGGAAGCUUCAUGCUCCGGGAAAAGCGAAAUCUCCCACCAUGCAAACUCAUGAACUACAGGUUCAAGUACACUUUUCUUCUGUAGGGAAAUUGGAAAGACUGAAAUGAGCUCACCCAUCAGUGUUACCUCCAGCCUUCCUGGCUUUGUGGUAUUCUACAACUCUGA
Herpailurus yagouaroundi (jaguarundi) is the source of this 1700-nucleotide long non-coding RNA. RefSeq lists it as uncharacterized. NCBI's taxonomy places the organism in Eukaryota, Metazoa, Chordata, Mammalia, Carnivora, Felidae. The transcript has 6 exons. The record is from RefSeq and is a predicted model, not a curated record.